RNAcentral lists this ribosomal RNA (514 nucleotides) under uncultured bacterium. RNAcentral describes it as "partial 16S ribosomal RNA". It matches the Rfam family "Bacterial small subunit ribosomal RNA", at positions 28 to 523 of the family's 1533-position model. The record is from RNAcentral.
GAUGAACGCUGGCGGCGUGCCUAAUACAUGCAAGUCGAGCGAACUGAUUAGAAGCUUGCUUCUAUGACGUUAGCGGCGGACGGGUGAGUAACACGUGGGCAACCUGCCUGUAAGACUGGGAUAACUUCGGGAAACCGAAGCUAAUACCGGAUAGGAUCUUCUCCUUCAUGGGAGAUGAUUGAAAGAUGGUUUCGGCUAUCACUUACAGAUGGGCCCGCGGUGCAUUAGCUAGUUGGUGAGGUAACGGCUCACCAAGGCAACGAUGCAUAGCCGACCUGAGAGGGUGAUCGGCCACACUGGGACUGAGACACGGCCCAGACUCCUACGGGAGGCAGCAGUAGGGAAUCUUCCACAAUGGACGAAAGUCUGACGGAGCAACGCCGCGUGAGUGAUGAAGGCUUUCGGGUCGUAAAACUCUGGUGUUAGGGAAGGACAAGUACAAGAGUAACUGCUUGUACCUUGACGGUACCUAACCAGAAAGCCACGGCUAACUACGUGCCAGCCGCCGCCGUAA